UGGGGAAUAUUGGACAAUGGGCGAAAGCCUGAUCCAGCCAUGCCGCGUGUGUGAAGAAGGCCUUUUGGUUGUAAAGCACUUUAAGCGAGGAGGAGGCUACUUGGAUUAAUACUCUAGGAUAGUGGACGUUACUCGCAGAAUAAGCACCGGCUAACUCUGUGCCAGCAGCCGCGGUAAUACAGAGGGUGCGAGCGUUAAUCGGAUUUACUGGGCGUAAAGCGUGCGUAGGCGGCUUCUUAAGUCGGAUGUGAAAUCCCUGAGCUUAACUUAGGAAUUGCAUUCGAUACUGGGAAGCUAGAGUAUGGGAGAGGAUAGUAGAAUUCCAGGUGUAGCGGUGAAAUGCGUAGAGAUCAGGAGGAAUACCGAUGGCGAAGGCAGCCAUCUGGCCUAAUACUGACGCUGAGGUACGAAAGCAUGGGGAGCAAACAGG
This 430-nucleotide ribosomal RNA is filed under the name Acidobacteriota bacterium. RNAcentral's name for it is "Acidobacteria bacterium partial 16S ribosomal RNA". It matches the Rfam family "Bacterial small subunit ribosomal RNA", at positions 355 to 776 of the family's 1533-position model. Lineage: Bacteria; Pseudomonadati; Acidobacteriota. The record is from RNAcentral.